CCUACGGGAGGCAGCAGUGGGGAAUAUUGGGCAAUGGAGGCAACUCUGACCCAGCAACGCCGCGUGAAUGAUGAAGGUCUUCGGAUUGUAAAGUUCUGUGAUGGGGGAUGAACACAAUGACGGUACCCCAAUAGCAAGCCACGGCUAACUACGUGGCAGCAGCCGCGGUAAUACGUAGGUGGCAAGCGUUAUCCGGAAUGACUGGGCGUAAAGGGUGCGUAGGUGGUUUAGUAAGUUAGCGGUGUAAUUCCGGGGCUCAACCUCGGCGCUACCGCCAAAACUAUUAGACUAGAGUGCAGGAGGGGUAAGUGGAAUUCCUAGUGUAGCGGUGAAAUGCGUAGAUAUUACGAAGAACUCCGAUCGCGAAGGCAGCCUACCGGCGCGCAACUGACGCUCAUGCACGAAAGCGUGGGUAUCGAACAGGAUUAGAUACCCCUGUAGUC
This 443-nucleotide ribosomal RNA is filed under the name uncultured bacterium. Its description in RNAcentral is "partial 16S ribosomal RNA". It matches the Rfam family "Bacterial small subunit ribosomal RNA", at positions 338 to 795 of the family's 1533-position model. The record is from RNAcentral.